RNAcentral lists this transfer RNA (77 nucleotides) under Candidatus Lloydbacteria bacterium RIFCSPHIGHO2_02_FULL_50_13. RNAcentral's name for it is "tRNA-Ile". It matches the Rfam family "tRNA". From Rfam's summary of the family: Transfer RNA (tRNA) molecules are approximately 80 nucleotides in length. Their secondary structure includes four short double-helical elements and three loops (D, anti-codon, and T loops). Further hydrogen bonds mediate the characteristic L-shaped molecular structure. tRNAs have two regions of fundamental functional importance: the anti-codon, which is responsible for specific mRNA codon recognition, and the 3' end, to which the tRNAs corresponding amino acid is attached (by aminoacyl-tRNA synthetases). tRNAs cope with the degeneracy of the genetic code in two manners: having more than one tRNA (with a specific anti-codon) for a particular amino acid; and 'wobble' base-pairing, i.e. permitting non-standard base-pairing at the 3rd anti-codon position. Lineage: Bacteria; Candidatus Lloydiibacteriota. The record is from RNAcentral.
GCGCGCGUAGCUCAGCUGGUUAGAGCACUCGACUGAUAAUCGGGAGGUCUCAGGUUCGACUCCUGACGCGCGCACCG